RNAcentral lists this ribosomal RNA (497 nucleotides) under uncultured bacterium. RNAcentral's name for it is "partial 16S ribosomal RNA". It matches the Rfam family "Bacterial small subunit ribosomal RNA", at positions 28 to 507 of the family's 1533-position model. The record is from RNAcentral.
GAUGAACGCUGGCGGCGUGCCUAAUACAUGCAAGUCGAGCGAACAGACGAGGAGCUUGCCCCUCUGACGUUAGCGGCGGACGGGUGAGUAACACGUGGAUAACCUACCUAUAAGACUGGGAUAACUUCGGGAAACCGGAGCUAAUACCGGAUAAUAUAUUGAACCGCAUGGUUCAAUAGUGAAAGACGGUUUUGCUGUCACUUAUAGAUGGAUCCUCGCCGCAUUAGCUAGUUGGUAAGGUAACGGCUUACCAAGGCAACGAUGCGUAGCCGACCUGAGAGGGUGAUCGGCCACACUGGAACUGAGACACGGUCCAGACUCCUACGGGAGGCAGCAGUAGGGAAUCUUCCGCAAUGGGCGAAAGCUUGACGGAGCAACGCCGCGUGAGUGAUGAAGGUCUUCGGAUCGUAAAACUCUGUUAUUAGGGAAGAACAAAUGUGUAAGUAACUAUGCACGUCUUGACGGUACCUAAUCAGAAAGCCACGGCUAACUACGUG